RNAcentral lists this long non-coding RNA (1210 nucleotides) under Camarhynchus parvulus. RNAcentral's name for it is "lncRNA (ENSCPVG00000016741.1)". Lineage: Eukaryota; Metazoa; Chordata; Aves; Passeriformes; Thraupidae. The record is from RNAcentral.
CCCCAGUGUCUCCAGUGUCCCCACAGUGCUCCCCAGCACUCCCCAGUGCCACCAGGACUCCCCAGUACAGCCUCCGUGUCCCCAGUAUCCCCCAGUAUAGCCCCAGUGUCCCCACAGUGCUCCCCAGAGAUCCCCAGACCUCCCAAUGCCCCCCAGUACAGCCGCAGUGCCUCCCAGUAACCCCCCAGUGUCCCCCAGUGCCCCCCGUGCCAGCCGCACCCCCUGGUGCUCCCUGGUGUCCUCCACACCUCCGGAUGUCGCCCCCCUGGCCUUCAGCACCUCCCUCCCCCCCAGUCCUGCUGCCGGGAGGGGACACCCGGACAAGGACAGCUGGGAAGAGCGGGAGGUUGUUCCCAGGGUCUGGAGCACAUUCCCGGGGGCCAGGACCCCAUUCCCGGGGGAGCAGAGCUCAUUCGUGGCUGUCCCGGGGGGCAGGACUCCAUUCCCGGGGGCAGGAGCCAUUCCCGGGGGGCAGGAGCCAUUCCCGGGGGGCAGGAGCCGUUCCCGGGGGCAGGAGCCCGUUCCCGGUAGUUAGGAGCCCGUUCCCGGUAGUUAGGAGCCCGUUCCCGGGGGACAGGAGGCGGUUCCCGGGGGCAGGACGUGACUCUCGGUGGGACGUGACAAAACUCGCGGUGGGACAUGAAGCCACCCCUAGGGGACUGGAGGUUGUUCCCAGGAGCUGCAGCCCAUUCCCGGAGGCUGGAGCUCAUCCCCGGGAGGCUGGAGUUUGCUCCCAGAGGACUGCAGCCCAUUCCCCGGGGAGCAGGAGACGUUCCCGGGGGGCAGGAGCCGUUCCCGGGGGACAGGAGCCCAUUCCCCGGGGGACAGGAGCGGUUCCUGGGGGACAGGAGCCCAUUCCCCGGGGCCAGGAGCCGUUCCCGGGGGCAGGAGCCCAUUCCUGGGGGCAGGAACCGAUUCCCGAGGGACUGGAGCCCAUUCCCCGGGGCAGGAGCCGUUCCCGAGGGACAGGAGCCGUUCCCGAGGGGACUGCAGCCCAUUCCCGGGGGCAGGAGCCGUUCCCGAGGGACAGGAGCCGUUCCCGAGGGACUGCAGCCCAUUCCCGGGGGCAGGAGCCGUUCCCGAGGGACUGGAGCCCAUUCCCGAGGGACUGGAGCCCAUUCCCCGGGGCCAGGAGCCGUUCCCGGUGGGCAGGAGCCGUUCCCGGGGCUGCAGGGUGUUCCCAGAGGACUGCAGCCCAUUCCCGGGGGCA